RNAcentral lists this ribosomal RNA (520 nucleotides) under uncultured Entrophospora. Its description in RNAcentral is "SSU rRNA". It matches the Rfam family "Eukaryotic small subunit ribosomal RNA", at positions 569 to 1085 of the family's 1831-position model. Lineage: Eukaryota; Fungi; Glomeromycota; Glomeromycetes; Entrophosporales; Entrophosporaceae. The record is from RNAcentral.
AGCAGCCGCGGUAAUUCCAGCUCCAAUAGCGUAUAUUAAAGUUGUUGCAGUUAAAAAGCUCGUAGUUGAAUUUCGGGAUUGACGUGAUGGUCAUGCCUUAAGGGGUAUGAACUGUUACUGUUGAUUUCUCACCUUCUGGAGAAACUUGAUGUCCUUUAUUGGGUGUCUUGCGGAUCCAGGACCUUUACCUUGAAAAAUUAGAGUGUUUAAAGCAGGCAUUUUUGCUCGAAUACAUUAGCAUGGAAUAGUAGAAUAGGACGGCAUGGUUCUAUUUUGUUGGUUUCUAGGAUCACCGUAAUGAUUAAUAGGGAUAGUUGGGGGCAUUAGUAUUCAAUUGUCAGAGGUGAAAUUCUUGGAUUUAUUGAAGACUAACUACUGCGAAAGCAUUUGCCAAGGAUGUUUUCAUUAAUCAAGAACGAAAGUUAGGGGAUCGAAGACGAUCAGAUACCGUCGUAGUCUUAACCAUAAACUAUGCCGACUAGGGAUCGGACGAUGUUAAUUUUUAAUGACUCGUUCGGCG